Molecule: long non-coding RNA, 323 nt
Organism: Hyla sarda
Lineage: Eukaryota; Metazoa; Chordata; Amphibia; Anura; Hylidae
Exons: 3
Source: RefSeq, a predicted model, not a curated record
GAUAUUCAUAUGCUGCAGAGGAGGAAAGGAAUGAAGAAUAUAAUCCUGAAGAAUCUUCUGAUGAGGAAGAUUAUAGUAUUCAACAGGAGACGUAAAGUGACAGUGAGGAGGAAACAGCUGCAACAAUACAUGAAAUAACGCCGAAACGAAAAGCUCUUCUGGAAAGACUAAGAAAAAAGGCAGAACUACAUGGCGAGCUACAUGAGCACUCUUUCCAAAACGAUCCAGAGUGGCCAAGCAUCAAUGACAUCCCAGGUGACAUAGUUACAUAGUUGCAUAGUUACAUAGUUAGUACGGUCGAAAAAAGACAUAUGUCCAUCAAG